AGUGAACGCUGGCGGUAGGCCUAACACAUGCAAGUCGAACGGCAGCACAGUAAGAGCUUGCUCUUACGGGUGGCGAGUGGCGGACGGGUGAGGAAUACAUCGGAAUCUACUUUUUCGUGGGGGAUAACGUAGGGAAACUUACGCUAAUACCGCAUACGACCUACGGGUGAAAGCAGGGGAUCUUCGGACCUUGCGCGAUUGAAUGAGCCGAUGUCGGAUUAGCUAGUUGGCGGGGUAAAGGCCCACCAAGGCGACGAUCCGUAGCUAGUCUGAGAGGAUGUAGCCCCAACUGGGAGCUGAAACCCGUCCAAGCUACUCAGGGGGGCACCAGUGGGGAAUUAUUGGCAACUGGGGGAAACCUUGCCCAACCAAUCCCGGUGGGUUGAAGAGGCCCUUCGGUUGUAAAACCCCUUUUUUGGGGAAAAAAAAACGGCAGUGUAAACCCCCGCUGUUUGACGGUACCCAAAGAAAAAGCCACGGCCAACUUCGUG
Molecule: ribosomal RNA, 491 nt
Filed under: uncultured bacterium
Lineage: Bacteria
Description: partial 16S ribosomal RNA
Rfam family: Bacterial small subunit ribosomal RNA
Source: RNAcentral